AGUGAACGCUGGUGGUAGGCCUAACACAUGCAAGUCGAACGGCAGCACAGUAAGAGCUUGCUCUUACGGGUGGCGAGUGGCGGACGGGUGAGGAAUACAUCGGAAUCUACUUUUUCGUGGGGGAUAACGUAGGGAAACUUACGCUAAUACCGCAUACGACCUACGGGUGAAAGCAGGGGAUCUUCGGACCUUGCGCGAUUGAAUGAGCCGAUGUCGGAUUAGCUAGUUGGCGGGGUAAAGGCCCACCAAGGCGUCGAUCCGUAGCUGGUCUGAGAGGAUGAUCAGCCACACUGGAACUGAGACACGGUCCAGACUCCUACGGGAGGCAGCAGUGGGGAAUAUUGGACAAUGGGCGCAAGCCUGAUCCAGCCAUACCGCGUGGGUGAAGAAGGCCUUCGGGUUGUAAAGCCCUUUGGUUGGGAAAGAAAAGCAGCAGGUUAAUACCCCGCUGUUCUGACGGUACCCAAAGAAUAAGCACCGGCUAGCUUCGUG
RNAcentral lists this ribosomal RNA (492 nucleotides) under uncultured bacterium. RNAcentral's name for it is "partial 16S ribosomal RNA". It matches the Rfam family "Bacterial small subunit ribosomal RNA", at positions 29 to 507 of the family's 1533-position model. The record is from RNAcentral.